RNAcentral lists this ribosomal RNA (250 nucleotides) under uncultured bacterium. RNAcentral describes it as "partial 16S ribosomal RNA". It matches the Rfam family "Bacterial small subunit ribosomal RNA", at positions 524 to 773 of the family's 1533-position model. The record is from RNAcentral.
UACGUAGGGUGCAAGCGUUGUUCGGAAUUACUGGGCGUAAAGGGCGCGUAGGCGGGCUCGUAUGUCGAUUGUGAAAGCCCUGGGCUUAACCCGGGAAUGGCAGUCGAAACUGCGAGUCUUGAAUGCUUGAGAGGAUGGCGGAAUUCCCGGUGUAGAAGUGAAAUUCGUAGAUAUCGGGAAGAACACCUGAGGCGAAGGCGGCUAUCUGGCGAUGCAUUGACGCUGAGGCGCGAAAGCGUGGGGAGCAAAC